This 2465-nucleotide small RNA is filed under the name Pan troglodytes (chimpanzee). RNAcentral describes it as "retained intron". The record is from RNAcentral. Lineage: Eukaryota; Metazoa; Chordata; Mammalia; Primates; Hominidae.
UAUGAUCACAGCUAUGCAGUUCUUACCAUAAAUGUAAACGGAGGCUAGAAAAGAGCACGAAGAAGGGAAAACAGCUAAUGUGUUAGGGUUGUGGAUAGUAGCUUAGUUUUUCUUUCAGAAAUUCUUUUAUUGUUGUUAAAGAUUAUGCCAGCGUAUCCAAACAUACACACUCAAAGACCUUGCGAGAGGACGUUACUAUCAUGGUAUAUGGGACAUUUGGAACAUGGGUAAGCUCUUUCUGAAAAUAGAGUAAUCAAAACCCAGAAAGCACCGGAAACCUUGAGGGUAUGAUCACUUACGUAGAGAAGAAAUUGAAACAAGACUUUCAUUCUUGAACCGUUCCCCUACAAAAUACGAUACUUUGAUGCUUCUUUAGAUCUUUGCUGUUACCUCUCAACGUUCUUAAAUCACUUUGUUUCCAGGUUCAAUUUCAGAAGCUUCAGCAACUGCGCCUUACACAGUACCAUGGAGGAUCCUUACCAAAUGUGAGCCAGCUGCGGAGCAGUGCGUCAGAGUUUCAGCCGUCAUUUCACCAAGCUGAUAAUGUUCGGGGAACCCGCCAUCACGGGCUGGUGGAGAGGCCAUCCAGGAACCGCUUCCACCCCCUCCACCGAAGGUCUGGGGACAAGCCGGGGCGACAAAUAUCCUUUUUUACUCUUCAAAGGGAGUGUGCAUUCUGAAAUGUUUGAAAAGUUUUCAGGAUUUAUCUUCCCUGCAAUUCUCCUUUGGCCUCAAAAUCUUCAUUUAUCUGAUGAAAGGAGGCAAUACAAAUAAAUGAGUUGGAAACUAGAAACAUCUCUGCAGUCAACAUUUGGAAACAUCAUUGUAGGUGUUUAUGAAAGCAUCAGUAAAGUUCAGUUUAAUGAAAUAACAACAAAAACAACCUGUAAUUCGGUCCCAUUGCAGGGUGUUCUGAGCAUUUUCUCCAGAAAUUGGCCAAGUUAGAGUUAAACCUGACUUUGAAUCAGGUUAGAGAGACUUAGUCUCUCUAGCAAAAAUGGACAUAGAGAUAUGUGAUUUAUUGGUACUUCUUUUGAUCUGCUGACCUGCUUUUGGAACUUACAGACAAAAUUUCAUAUGAUUUUCUAUUUGUGAUGUUUCAAACUCAGUAAGUGAUAACUAAAAUAAACCUAGAAUAUAGGAAAAUCUCAUGCAGUGAUGUACAGUCACACCAAACUCUGCUGUUAAGUAGAAAUAAAGGAAAGGAAAUGGUGAAUUCACCUGACAGUUUCAUUUAAUCAGUCCUGUUUACGGGGCGGCAGUGGUGGGUGCAGCUGUGUGACCAGCAUUGUGCCGAAGGCUUUGGGGAACAGAACUGAGCUGGAUUUUUUGGGAGAGGACACAGAAGUGUGCCAGGAGGGCCCGUGCUCUCACUUCAUUCUUCUCAGUACUCGGGCUCGGGUGGAGGAAGGAGAAGAAAGGCGGGGUGGGUCUCGCUGCGGAGAGCUGAAUUCCUGGCAGUGAUGGUAGAGUUGGCUUCACAAGCCUAGAAACCAGGAAGUGGGGGCAGGGCACUCAUGUUUACUGAGCACCUACCCAUGCCAGGCGCUGUGCUGGGUAAUUUAUGUGUCAUUUAGUCCUCAAAAACUCACUGAGUCGUUAAUUUUUUUAACCCUCAUUUUCUGAUGAGGAAACUGAGUGUGUGGUGAAGUAACCCAGGAUUCAGACCAGGCCCAGCUGAUGGCCCAGCCUGUGCUCUCCCCUCCCUAUGCCACCUGCGACCACUCGCAGUGAUGAGGACCUUGUACAAGGGAGCCAGGAGUUGUGGGGGCACUCUAGGGAAACCCCAACUUUUCUUGCCUUCAAGCUUCUUGCAGUUUUUAGUCUAUUUGGAGGCAAGGAUAAUGACCCCAGGGAAUGUUUUUCUCUCCCCUUUCUGCCGCCCCCAGGAACACACCACAUUUGGUCCACAGAAGGACUGACUUCUGAUUUUGUAUAUUACGUGGCUGUUAUCAAGGAAAGUAAAGAUGAUAAAUGAUCUUGAGAAUCUAUUCUGGAAUGUGUGAUAACUUUGACAUUGAAUGAAAAAGGCAAAAGGAAAUGGAGGCAAUUCAUCAGCAAAUUUGUACAUGUCAGGAUGGAGUGGUACAUCAAACCAUUGUCCAAAUUGCCAAGAAUAUUCAGGCAAAAGACUUGGAGUGUUUCUUUGAUUGAUUUAACAAUGUAUUUUUUUUUGGCUGGGCAUGGUGGCUCACGCCUGUAAUCCCAGCACUUUGGGAGGCCGAGGUGGGCAGAUCACGAGGUCAGGAGAUUGAGACCAUCCUGGCUAACGUGGUGAAACUCCGUCUCUACUAAAAUUACAAAAAAUUAGCCAGGCUUGGUGGUGGGCACCUAUAGUCCCAGGCUGAGGCAGGAGAAUGGUGUGAACCCGGGAGGUGGAGCUUGCGGUGAACCGAGAUCGCGCCACUGCACUCCAGCCUGGGCAACAGAGCAAGACUCCGUCUCAAAAAAAAAAAAAAAAAAAA